UAACACCUUAAAUUGAGUCUAGAUGUACUUGACGUGACAAGAGAUGAGGUACUGAGCCUGAAAAGCGAGAAAAACAAGUUCCAUAAAGACAGUUGCUAUGGAAGCACUGUACCCUGGAGGGUCGUAUCCCGUGGAGAUGGUGAUGCGACUGGGUAGCAUUAUACAGCAUGUACCUGCACAGCUGCGUCCUGGUCUACUGGGGCUCAAAUCUGUGUAUCCAGACCAACAGGCACAGGUGUAUGAGCCAUUCGUGUUUUCACAGGAAGCCCACGGAGAGCAGUCCGCCUCAGCUGCCAAACACUCAUUUAAAUCUAUAAAUAACAAGAGACCAAUCACAUCUCAAGUCAACAUGUCACAUUAUUAACAAUGCUUUUCUGUAGAGACGCAAUAAAAUCUCUGGACAUGCUAGACAUGGUCAGGUUGCUGCUGGGUUGAAAAAUGAUGGAAAAGU
Molecule: long non-coding RNA, 451 nt
Organism: Rhinichthys klamathensis goyatoka
Lineage: Eukaryota; Metazoa; Chordata; Actinopteri; Cypriniformes; Leuciscidae
Exons: 3
Source: RefSeq, a predicted model, not a curated record